This 697-nucleotide long non-coding RNA is filed under the name Mustela putorius furo (domestic ferret). Its description in RNAcentral is "lncRNA (ENSMPUG00000029545.1)". Lineage: Eukaryota; Metazoa; Chordata; Mammalia; Carnivora; Mustelidae. The record is from RNAcentral.
UUCUUUUUUUAAUUUGAAAAGAAACUUCUGGCACUUGGGGUAUUGAUUGAAAAUUCGUAAAAGCAGGACGCGUUUCAGGUUGGCUGACCAGUCAUAAUUGCUGCCUGGGUGCUUGGGGAGGAGGUCAACUUCUUGGAGAGACACCCUCCCCUGAAGCCCCCGUCCUCUGGCUACUCUCCCACUUUCUUCUUAUUAUCUUUGGGCUCUCCGGGAGAGAAGGACAAGGAAAGAAAAAUGUGCCCACGCAUCGUCACUGGCUACAGUUAACGACGAACGUACCUUCGUUUCCUCAUCUGAGAAAUGAGCAGUUGGACUGGUUGACCUGGGGCCCAAAGGUUCUGCUGGGACCCAAAGAGCAGAAACAAGAAAUAUAUUAACAUUUUCUUUAGAAUGCCAGUAACAUCUCAUCAGGUUUCAGGUAAGGGACAAAUUGAAAUAUAUUUAGCUUUUCGUCAUCUGUAAAUAUUGACUGCACAGGCCUUGGGGUUCAGCCUGAAUUAAAUAUGCCCAGUGUGUUUUCUUGAGGUCAGAAAUACAGUGUGGACCAAGAGACAAAACAUAGAAGCUGCUGAAUGACCACUGAUCGGGUAAAUAUAUUAACAUGACGCAGAUGCCCGAAAAUGAGAUGUCUCAUAGCUCUGGGAAAUGCUGCUAGCCUGCUAUAUGUUUAUCCAUUCAAAAAUUCAUAUAUAAAUUC